GUUGCUCCUUUUCCAUUCUCGUAACAAUUUUACAAAUCCAAACAAUCAUGCAUUAAGUUGUUAUACAUUAUUAUGUAUAAGAAAAGGUAGAAUUAGCUAUGCAUGACAUAUUCAGCUCUAGAAGAACAUCAACAACCCAUUCUCAUUCAUUCAGGCAACGAUUUAAGGCUAACAAUGGCGGAAGAUGACACGUGACUAGAAAAAGGGAGAAGAUGGUACGGAAAAUCAAGAGCAAGCAAAUAUGGGACCAUAGAGAAGUGGAUGUGGUACAAGUAUAGGGGAAUCACGUUUGAAGAUUUCAAACUCUGAAUGAAUAAGAGGUAACCUCAAGUUUGAAUGGUUAAGAGGUAACCUCUGAAUGGUAAAUCAUCACAUGUCACAUUCUUCUACCUUCUCAUUGGUAAAAUUCUUAAUGGUUCCAUUAAGAGAUAGCCUCUUAAUGACCAUUCAGAGGCUACCAAACAGCCUCUCAUAAAGUUGCAUAUGACCAGUGUUGAACUAUUUGUAAUUAAUGAACUAUAAAGCUAUGAUAAUUUGUAAGUGUUGUGUAUACAUUGUAUAGAACCAACAUUUCAGUUG
Molecule: long non-coding RNA, 579 nt
Organism: Helianthus annuus (common sunflower)
Lineage: Eukaryota; Viridiplantae; Streptophyta; Magnoliopsida; Asterales; Asteraceae
Exons: 3
Source: RefSeq, a predicted model, not a curated record